GAACUUAAGCAUAUCAAUAAGCGGAGGAAAAGAAACCAACAGGGAUUACCUCAGUAACGGCGAGUGAAGCGGUAACAGCUCAAAUUUGAAAUCUGGCCUCACGGUCCGAGUUGUAAUUUGUAGAGGAUGCUUCGAGCAUGGUCUGGCCUAAGUUCCUUGGAACAGGACGUCAUAGAGGGUGAGAAUCCCGUAUGCGGCCAGGUGCCUACGCUCAUGUGAAGCUCCUUCGACGAGUCGAGUUGUUUGGGAAUGCAGCUCAAAAUGGGUGGUAAAUUUCAUCUAAAGCUAAAUAUUGGCCAGAGACCGAUAGCGCACAAGUAGAGUGAUCGAAAGAUGAAAAGCACUUUGGAAAGAGAGUUAAACAGUACGUGAAAUUGUUGAAAGGGAAGCGCUUGCAACCAGACUUGCGCGCGGCCGAUCAUCCGGUGUUCUCACCGGUGCACUCGGCCGUGCUCAGGCCAGCAUCGGUUUUGGCGGCUGGAUAAAGGCCCUAGGAAUGUAGCUCCUCUCGGGGAGUGUUAUAGCCUAGGGUGCAAUGCAGCCUGCUGGGACCGAGGACCGCGCUUCGGCUAGGAUGCUGGCGUAAUGGUUGUAAGCGGCCCGUCUUGAAACACGGACCAAGGAGUCUAACAUCUAUGCGAGUGUUUGGGUGUCAAACCCAUACGCGUAAUGAAAGUGAACGGAGGUGAGAACCCUUAAGGGUGCAUCAUCGACCGGUCCUGAAGUUUACGGAAGGAUCUGAGUAAGAGCAUAGCUGUUGGGACCCGAAA
This 770-nucleotide ribosomal RNA is filed under the name uncultured fungus. Its description in RNAcentral is "eukaryotic LSU rRNA". It matches the Rfam family "Eukaryotic large subunit ribosomal RNA", at positions 30 to 821 of the family's 3401-position model. Lineage: Eukaryota; Fungi. The record is from RNAcentral.